CCUCCGGGAGGCUGCAGUGGGGAAUAUUGCACAAUGGGCGAAACCCUGAUGCAGCGACGCCGCGUGAGUGAAGAAGUUUUUCGGUAUGUAAAGCUCUAUCAGCAGGGAAGCAAAUGACGGUACCUGACUACGAAGCCCCGUCUAACUACGUGCCAGCAGCCGCGGUAAUACGGAGGGUGCAAGCGUUAUCCGGAUUUACUGGGGGUAAAGGGGGCGUAGGCGGCAGAGCGAGUCCGAAGUGAAAUCCCAUGGCUUAACCAUGGAACUGCUUUGGAAACUGGGCAGCUGGAGGGCAGGAGAGGUAAGCGGAAUUCGUGGUGUAGCGGUGAAAUGCGUAGAUAUUAGGAGGAACACCAGUGGCGAAGGCGGCUUACUGGCCUGUAACUGACGUUGAGGCUCGAAAGCGUGGGGAGCAAACAGGAUUAGAUACCCGUGUAGUC
This 440-nucleotide ribosomal RNA is filed under the name uncultured bacterium. RNAcentral's name for it is "partial 16S ribosomal RNA". It matches the Rfam family "Bacterial small subunit ribosomal RNA", at positions 338 to 795 of the family's 1533-position model. The record is from RNAcentral.